AGCUGAGGUGGGACUGACCUCAUUCAGGACCUGAACACCCAGGAUGUAUUUAAUCAACCCAGCUGCGGUUCCGCUCUGAUGUCGACCCGGUGAGGGUCGGUAUCAGGUCAGGUGAGGGCACGAGUCAGGGCGAGUGGAAAAUCAACAACGACGCAGCGUCACACUCGGAGCUCUGACCUGGACUUUGUACCGGAGGUCAUGCUGCUGCAGACGCGAUGUUGUGUGGAAUCCUCACAGCCUCCGGUUUAUAAAAGCUGCUAUUGGUCAGUUACACCGAUGAUGUCAUUAAGGAUGAAAGUCUACCAGAUCCAAGAUGGCCUCCAAAACAAAGCGGUAGCCAACAGAAUGGCGUUAGCGGGGACGAGGCUACGGAGCCAACACACUGAAACUCUGCUGAUCCAGGAGCAGUUUCUGGCUGCUGGGGAGGAAAAUAAUACAUGAAUUCACUGAUUAGUCUGAUCUCUGCUGUGGUCUUGAUUCACAUUUUUACUGGAAAACAGUUUCACGAGAAAUGGGUUUAUGAAAACACACGUUACUGGAUUUUUGUUGAAAUAAAACGUCAUUAACCCUUUCA
Molecule: long non-coding RNA, 574 nt
Organism: Nothobranchius furzeri (turquoise killifish)
Lineage: Eukaryota; Metazoa; Chordata; Actinopteri; Cyprinodontiformes; Nothobranchiidae
Source: RefSeq, a predicted model, not a curated record